Ciona intestinalis (vase tunicate) is the source of this 1237-nucleotide non-coding RNA. Lineage: Eukaryota; Metazoa; Chordata; Ascidiacea; Phlebobranchia; Cionidae. The record is from RefSeq and is a predicted model, not a curated record.
AGGUUCCAACUGUGCCAAUUUCAAUGCUGUAGUCUGUGUUGCAAAGAAUGUUAUUUUGAAGAUGUCGAAUAGCUAUUUAAGAAGAGGCGCGACCAUUUGGUUUGUUAUGCUAUGUUUAAAGUUAACGAUCGUGUUGAUGUUUAUGUAUCUGCCAAUUCCGAAAGCAAUCUCGUUUCAGUGGUAUAGUGAACAAAGGUCAUCUGCUCCAUUAUCGACCGCAAGUAGCGAUUACAACAGCAGGCAAAACACGACGGGAAUGUCCUUUAACCAACGCUUCAAAAGAAUCUUGAAGGAAACUGUAAACAAGAGUGUUAUGUCAAACAGCGGUGUACCAAGUCCAAGUUAAGAAUUAUUCGCAUUUCCCUUGUUUAUGUAUUUAGUCAAUUAUACAAGCUCUGAUAUUGCUCACAUCGAAGAUGGAGUAAUAUAAUUUGAUGUUUUAUCAAUAAAUCUAAAAUAUUAAAGCAGUGCACCGAAUUUCGAAUCUUUGCCAGACACCUUUUAAACGUUGUAUAUAUAAACUUAUCGAUCGCAUUUUAACCAAUAAACGAAACUGUUUUGUUUUACUAUCAAUAAUUGCAAACUGUUUGUUUAAAUAAAAGCCUGUGUAAAAUGCUUGCAGCAAGUAUUCAUUUACCUGGGUUAUGUGCCGAUCUCUCGGGAGAAUUCUAGUAGAGCGAGUUUCAGUGCGUUAAAAUCUGCGGCAUCAGUUUGCUAUUUUAAAACUUGUGUCUGCUCUCUGCUGUGCGUAUACGCACCCUAUUUCGUCGCUGAAACUUCAAGCAGAAGGGUCACGUCCAAUCAAGUCGAUGAACACCUCGGCAUCGUGUGCCACAAUCGGUCGAUACUUAAGGUUUUAACAGAGAAUGAAGGUUAUUAAGUAUGUGAAACCUACUGCUUCAUGUGUUAAAUGUUGGUCAGGGUCAUGUAAAGUUUAGGUUAAGGAUACUUCCUAUACACCAUGGUGCUGUUGCUACUGUAACGUUUUGGAUUCCAUUUACGAAAUUAUUCUCAAGAGUUACAAUACUGCUGGACAGAUGUGGAAUGCCUAUUGCUAAUAAUCUUCGAGGAUCGAGAGGCGACGAGUCUCAGAUCGGGUACGAUGAUCACAGUAAAUUACUCAUAAUGCAAGGGAUGCUAUCAAGUGUAAUAAUCACUUGUGUAGUGGUAUCGGGUAUCUUACUUAUUGCUUGCUGCAUCCGGCACUUCAUUCUUGCCUACGAUACGCAACAGGCAG